CACCGCUCGGCCGCUGGUGGAGACCAUAUUUGAGAGGGGAAUGGCCACUUGUUUUGCUUACGGUCAGACGGGCAGCGGGAAAACUCAUACCAUGGGAGGAGAUUUUUCGGGGAAGAACCAGGAUUGCUCCAAAGGGAUCUACGCUCUCGCUGCACGGGAUGUUUUUCUCAUGUUAAAAAAACCAAACU
Molecule: long non-coding RNA, 188 nt
Organism: Sinocyclocheilus rhinocerous
Lineage: Eukaryota; Metazoa; Chordata; Actinopteri; Cypriniformes; Cyprinidae
Exons: 3
Source: RefSeq, a predicted model, not a curated record